This 495-nucleotide ribosomal RNA is filed under the name uncultured bacterium. Its description in RNAcentral is "partial 16S ribosomal RNA". It matches the Rfam family "Bacterial small subunit ribosomal RNA", at positions 28 to 507 of the family's 1533-position model. The record is from RNAcentral.
GACGAACGCUGGCGGCGUGCCUAAUACAUGCGAGUAGAACGCUGAAGGAGGAGCUUGCUUCUCUGGAUGAGUUGCGAACGGGUGAGUAACGCGUAGGUAACCUGCCUGGUAGCGGGGGAUAACUAUUGGAAACGAUAGCUAAUACCGCAUAAGAGUAGAUGUUGCAUGACAUUUGCUUAAAAGGUGCAAUUGCAUCACUACCAGAUGGACCUGCGUUGUAUUAGCUAGUUGGUGGGGUAACGGCUCACCAAGGCGACGAUACAUAGCCGACCUGAGAGGGGGAUCGGCCACACUGGGACUGAGCCACGGCCCAGACUCCUACGGGAGGCAGCAGUAGGGAAUCUUCGGCAAUGGACGGAAGUCUGACCGAGCAACGCCGCGUGAGUGAAGAAGGUUUUCGGAUCGUAAAGCUCUGUUGUAAGAGAAGAACGAGUGUGAGAGUGGAAAGUUCACACUGUGACGGUAUCUUACCAGAAAGGGACGGCUAACUACGUG